Molecule: ribosomal RNA, 446 nt
Filed under: uncultured bacterium
Lineage: Bacteria
Description: partial 16S ribosomal RNA
Rfam family: Bacterial small subunit ribosomal RNA
Source: RNAcentral
CCUACGGGCGGCAGCAGUCGAGAAUCAUUCACAAUGGGGGAAACCCUGAUGGUGCGACGCCGCGUGGGGGAAUGAAGGUCUUCGGAUUGUAAACCCCUGUCAUGUGGGAGCAAAUGACAAAGAUAGUACCACAAGAGGAAGAGACGGCUAACCCUGUGCCCGCAGCCGCGGUAAUACAGAGGUCUCAAGCGUUGUUCGGAAUCACUGGGCGUAAGGGGUGCGUAGGCGGGUUCGUAAGUCGUGUGUGAAAGGCGCGGGCUCAACCCGCGGACUGCACAUGAUACUGCGUGACUAGAGUGAUGGAGGGGGAACCGGAAUUCUCGGUGUAGCAGUGAAAUGCGUAGAUAUCGAGAGGAACACUCGUGGCGAAGGCGGGUUCCUGGACAUUAACUGACGCUGAGGCACGAAGGCCAGGGGAGCGAAAGGGAUUAGAUACCCUUGUAGUC